UGCAGUUGGCCUCUUCUUCUUCUUCUUCUUCUUCUUCUUCUUCUUCUUCUUCGCUUAGAGAGAAAAAGAUGGUAUUCCAAAAUGAAAAGAAAAUGAAAAUACUAUGCCUGCAUGGAUUUAGAACCAGUGGAAGUUUUCUGAAGAAGCAAAUUAGCAAAUGGGAUCCUUCUAUUUUCCAUCAAUUUGACCUUGAUUUCCCAGAUGGAAUUUUCCCUGCUAAAGGCAAAUCUGACAUAGAAGGCAUCUUCCCACCACCCUACUUUGAGUGGUUCCAGUACAAUGAGGACUUCACAGAGUAUACAAAUCUUGAAGAAUGCAUCUCUUAUUUGUGUGAAUACAUCACAAGCAAUGGCUCUUUUGAUGGUUUGCUUGGCUUCUCUCAGGCAUGUACUUUGCUUUCUUUUGAUACCACUGAAAAGUAUUUUUCAAACUCUAAUACUAUUGAAUUAGAACUCAUUGUCAAUGAAUUGUUGCCAAUUUGUCCAAUUGACAUCUCAUCAACAGUUUAAUUCAAUAGUUAAGAAAAAAAAAUUAGAUGGCAUAUGAGCUCAAGUUUUUUAUGCCACUAGUGAAUAUUUACAUGAAUUUUAAGCAUAAGACAAAUGCAAAGAAUUUGUUUUCUGUUUGUUCAGGGAGCAACACUCUCAGCUCUGUUGAUUGGCUACCAAAUUCAGGGAAAAGUGUUGAAGGAACUUCCACCUUUGAAAUUAUUUGUAUCAAUAUCAGGGACAAAGUUCAGAGAUCCAAGCAUAUGUCAAGUUGCUUACAAGGACACUAUCAAGGUUAAGUCCGUUCAUUUUAUAGGAGCCAAGGACUGGUUGAGAUUGCCUUCUGAGGACCUUGCCACUGCCUUUGAUAACCCUCUUAUCAUAAGGCACCCACAAGGCCACACUGUCCCAAGACUUGAUGAGGAAUCUACUGAGAAGCUACGUGCAUGGGCGACAGAGAUCAUCCAAUGCAACAACAGAAUUUUGGAGAAAGAAGAAAUUAAGGUGGAUGAGGAAAAGAAGCAAGAAAGGCCUGAUAAGAUAGACAACCAAGAGCAGACUACUGUUCUAGUUUGAACCUAUGAACUUACAAUGGAGCAACUAUUUGCUGCAAAACUACCCUCUAUGCUUUCCAUUAUAUGCUAUGCUACCUAUUUUGGGAAUGUAAAUCAUAGCUUUGAGCUAUUUUGCCCUCCCUUGGUAAAGAUAUAAAUAAAUAAUAAAAAUAAGAGAGAAAGAAGAAGAUUGAAUGAA
This is an RNA transcript of Hevea brasiliensis (rubber tree), 1241 nucleotides long. RefSeq lists it as uncharacterized. NCBI's taxonomy places the organism in Eukaryota, Viridiplantae, Streptophyta, Magnoliopsida, Malpighiales, Euphorbiaceae. The transcript is spliced from 5 exons. The record is from RefSeq and is a predicted model, not a curated record.